AAAAAUAGUAUAUAAAUAACUGUGGAGAGACGUCUGUGAUAGGGGUGGAAACGAGCCGAACACGAGCUGGCUCGUUAAAGUAUCGAGCCGAAAAAUUCAGCUCGUGUUCGACUCGUUUAUUAACGAGUUGAACAUGAGUUGGCUCACGAGCUGACCAACGAACAAUAAAUUACAAAAGAUUAGAUUAAAUAUAUAUAUAAAAUAAAUUUAUAAAAUUUUAUUCAUUAGACUUUGAUCUAAUAGUUGAAAUUUUACAAAUAAAUGUGUCUUUUUAUAAUUAAGCUUGUAUUUAUAUUUUUAUUUUACUAAAAAUUAAAUAAUAAAAAUAUAUAUUAUAUAUAAUUAUUUAUUUAUAUAUAAAAAUAUAAAUUAAAUAAAUUAUAUAAAUAUAAAAUAUAUGUAUUCGAGCGGUUAUCGAGCCGAGCACGAGCGAGGUGACCCAGCUCGUGUUCAGCUCGUGUUUGACUCCUUUACUAAACGAGUCCCGAACUCAUUUCGAGCUGAAC
RNAcentral lists this long non-coding RNA (506 nucleotides) under Ananas comosus (pineapple). Its description in RNAcentral is "long non-coding RNA (ACOM_LNC017530)". The record is from RNAcentral. Lineage: Eukaryota; Viridiplantae; Streptophyta; Magnoliopsida; Poales; Bromeliaceae.